CGGGGUGUAGCGCAGUCCGGUUAGCGCACCUGCUUCGGGAGCAGGGGGUGGGCGGUUCGAAUCCGCCCACCCCGACCA
Molecule: transfer RNA, 78 nt
Filed under: Gemmatimonadota bacterium
Lineage: Bacteria; Pseudomonadati; Gemmatimonadota
Description: Gemmatimonadetes bacterium (marine metagenome) tRNA-Pro
Rfam family: tRNA
About the family: Transfer RNA (tRNA) molecules are approximately 80 nucleotides in length. Their secondary structure includes four short double-helical elements and three loops (D, anti-codon, and T loops).
Source: RNAcentral